GUAGGGUGCGAGCGUUGUCCGGAAUUACUGGGCGUAAAGAGCUCGUAGGUGGUUUGUCGCGUUGUCCGUGAAAUCCCACGGCUUAACUGUGGGCGUGCGGGCGAUACGGGCAGACUAGAGUGCUGCAGGGGAGACUGGAAUUCCUGGUGUAGCGGUGGAAUGCGCAGAUAUCAGGAGGAACACCGGUGGCGAAGGCGAGUCUCUGGGCAGCUACUGACGCUGAGGAGCGAAAGCGUGGGGAGCGAGCAGGAUUAGAUACCCUGGUAGUCCACGCCGUAAACGGUGGGUACUAGGUGUGGGUUCUUUCCUAAGGAUCCGUGCCGUAGCUAACGCAUUAAGUACCCCGCCUGGGGAGUACGGCCGCAAGGCUA
RNAcentral lists this ribosomal RNA (371 nucleotides) under uncultured bacterium. RNAcentral describes it as "bacterial SSU rRNA". It matches the Rfam family "Bacterial small subunit ribosomal RNA", at positions 527 to 896 of the family's 1533-position model. The record is from RNAcentral.